AUGGGACGACACUCCCAGAUCGGUGGUGGGCGCGAUGACCGGCUGAGCAAGCUCGACGAUGGCGUUCUUGGCAACAUCCUCUCCUUCCUCCCCGCCAAGGAGGCCAUGCGGGCGACCGCGCUCUCCACCCGGUGGCGUGACGUCUUCGCCAGCGUCCACACCGUUUCUCUGGAGCAGUCGGAAGACACCGUCUCCCUCGCCAACGGCGUCAACGACGUGCUCCUCGCCCGAUACCGCCGCGGCCGCACCACGGUCCCGUUGCGCUCCCUCCGCGUGGCCUUCUGCGACUACAAUAACGGGAUGAACGACCUCGACUCCAUGGUUGACCGGUGGAUCUCGUAUGCCAUGCAGGAGAGUGGACCUGAGCUCCACCUCGACCUGCGCCUCCGCGCCGACGAAAUCUGCGGCCGCGGCUACUCCCUCCGCGGCGCGGCCAAGGACAACCAGGACGGCAUUCAAGAUGACGAGCGCUCCGCUUGCAGCUCCGACGAUGAAAACCGCGAGGUCGAGUCGCUCCUUCAUGCCCUGGAGGGCAUCGCCCUCGACGUCAUCUCCGACGACGAGGUUGAGACGCCCCCUCCUCCCAAAAGACCAUGGCUACGGCAGCAGAAGGACAAGCUGUACACUGUUCCACGAUCUGUCUUCUCCUGCGCCGCGCUGCGCACUCUGUGCCUCGGGUCCUGCAAGCUCGACCCGCCGACCGGCGGGGCCAACCUGCCGUCCCUCGAGGCGCUGGUCCUGACCCGUGUUGCCGACUCGGGCAGGAAGAUUCAACGGCUCAUCUCCAGCUGCCCGUUCCUCGCCGACCUGACGCUCGAGGCCUGCGCCAGAGUGAGGGAGCUCUCGGUCCUCGACAAGCGCCUCCGCAGGCUGGCCCUGAGGUGUUGCCACCGGUUGGCGAGCGUCAUCAUCGAUGCGUCGAAGCUGCGCUCCUUCGAGUACAGGGGCGCCGUGCCCGCGCAGCCAUCGUUUCUGACCAUGCACAACGGCCCGCCAAGACUCUCGUCAUGCAGAGUCGAUUUAUGCGGCGGGGAGCUGACGUCGGAGGAGGAUCUCACCCGCCUCGGCGAAUUCCUCCACCACUUUGAAACCGCGGAGCAUUUGCACCUGACGUCUGCCCGCCUGGGCUCCGGCAUCGACAACGACGCCAUCGCCACACGGUUCCCGGCGUUCUUGAAGCUUCGCCAACUCGAGCUCACAGGCUCCCUGCCACACGACGACGAUACCCAAGGCAACGCCGUCGUCGCUGCGGUGGCAAGGAUCCUGGGGCACGCCCCCAACCUGGAGGUGCUCACCCUGUUCUUCAAGGCGCCGCCUCGCGAGAAGCCAGAGCGCUACGGCCUCUACAAGGAGGAGGAGUUUCUGGACGCGCACCAUCUCAAGUACGACCGCGACACCAUUGUCCUGCAGACGCCGCCUGCCGACCUGCUGCCCCCCUGCCUGAGGGAGAUCAACCUGGUGAACUACCAGGGCGGCGACGCGCGUGGACCUCCUCCCGGCAACCUGGCUACAACUACGCGUCCCUGGACCUCCUCCCCUUGGACUACCGGGCAGGGGUCGUCGCCGUCGACCAGCUCCGCUCAAGGUGGCUCCUACAUCUUCACAUUGGGCUCCGACCAGCAGCUGAGGCACAUAGGAUUCCCUGAGGCCAAGGAACUGCUACUGAGAUUCUCCACCGUGUCUAUCCUGUUCCGCGGUAACCUGCAUUGGUGCAUACGCAAUCUGAUGAUGGCAUUUGACACCACCGCUGAGUCGUUCCGGCAGGUGCGCUCUCCGGCUGGUCCUGGCUACUCUAACCUGAUUGAGAUGGGUGACAUGCUUGGCAUCUCCAGUCUUAGUGACGCAGCAGCAAGCGUUAAUAUCUGGGUGUUGCAAGACUAUGAAGCCGAGGUCUGGACCUUCAAAUACCGGGUUGAGUUUCCGGUCGCAGAGAUCAGGGAGCAAUUUGGAAAGUCUGUCCAUUUUCGGAAUGUGGUGGCCGUGCCUUGGGAUGGCGAUGUGCUCUUACUCAUCAAAUUUGAUGACUGUCUGCUUCAGGUUGACAUUCAUGGCAAGAUGGUUUCCAGUUUCCGUCGCAGAGGCCUUGGUCCUACAAAUCUUCAGAUCAAGCAAACUCUUGUUCAACAUGCCUUCUUUCCGACACUAGAGGGUUAUGUUGUGAACUCUUCGCCUUUGGUCUGA
This 2181-nucleotide ribosomal RNA is filed under the name Triticum aestivum (bread wheat). RNAcentral describes it as "partial small subunit ribosomal RNA". Lineage: Eukaryota; Viridiplantae; Streptophyta; Magnoliopsida; Poales; Poaceae. The record is from RNAcentral.